This 68-nucleotide transfer RNA is filed under the name Chloroflexota bacterium. RNAcentral's name for it is "Chloroflexi bacterium tRNA-OTHER". Lineage: Bacteria; Bacillati; Chloroflexota. The record is from RNAcentral.
GUGCGGCCAGAAGGAUACCCGGACUUUUAAUCAGGGUGUCGUGGGUUCGAAUCCCACACGGCUCACCA